Molecule: ribosomal RNA, 436 nt
Filed under: uncultured bacterium
Lineage: Bacteria
Description: bacterial SSU rRNA
Rfam family: Bacterial small subunit ribosomal RNA
Source: RNAcentral
GAUGAACGCUAGCGGUAUGCUUAACACAUGCAAGUCGUACGGGAAAGUAAUUUCUAGUGGCGGACGGGUGAGUAACACGUGAGAAUUUGCCUUUAGGAAGAGGAUAACUUUUAGAAAUAGAAGCUAAUACUCUAUAUGCCGUUUGGUGAAAGAAGAAAUUCGCCUAAAGAGAAGCUCGCGUCUGAUUAGCUAGUUGGUAGGGUAAAGGCCUACCAAGGCGACGAUCAGUAGCUGGUUUGAGAGGAUGAUCAGCCACAUUGGAACUGAGACACGGUCCAGACUCCUACGGGAGGCAGCAGUGAGGAAUUUUCUGCAAUGGGCGAAAGCCUGACAGAGCAAUACCGCGUGAGGGAUGAAGGCCUAUGGGUUGUAAACCUCUUUUCUCAAGGAGGAAGAUAUGACGUUACUUGAGGAAUAAGCAUCGGCUAACCCUGUG